AGCGAACGCUGGCGGCAGGCUUAACACAUGCAAGUCGAACGGGCUUCUUCGGAAGUCAGUGGCAGACGGGUGAGUAACACGUGGGAACGUGCCCUUCGGUUCGGAAUAACUCAGGGAAACUUGAGCUAAUACCGGAUACGCCCUUAUGGGGAAAGGUUUACUGCCGAAGGAUCGGCCCGCGUCUGAUUAGGUUGUUGGUGGGGUAACGGCCUACCAAGGCGACGAUCAGUAGCUGGUCUGAGAGGAUGAUCAGCCACACUGGGACUGAGACACGGCCCAGACUCCUACGGGAGGCAGCAGUGGGGAAUAUUGGACAAUGGGCGCAAGCCUGAUCCAGCCAUGCCGCGUGAGUGAUGAAGGCCUUAGGGUUGUAAAGCUCUUUUGUCCGGGACGAUAAUGACGGUACCGGAAGAAUAAGCCCCGGCUAACUUCGUG
RNAcentral lists this ribosomal RNA (435 nucleotides) under uncultured bacterium. RNAcentral describes it as "partial 16S ribosomal RNA". It matches the Rfam family "Bacterial small subunit ribosomal RNA", at positions 29 to 507 of the family's 1533-position model. The record is from RNAcentral.